Devosia geojensis is the source of this 53-nucleotide regulatory RNA element. It matches the Rfam family "serC leader". Rfam says of the family: This family is a putative regulatory RNA structure that is found upstream of the serC-serA operon in some alpha-proteobacteria. The record is from Rfam. NCBI's taxonomy places the organism in Bacteria, Pseudomonadati, Pseudomonadota, Alphaproteobacteria, Hyphomicrobiales, Devosiaceae.
CCUCAGGACAUCUCGCCCUAACGCGAGACAAUCGACCUGGGAGGGUCGCUCAU